AUGGGCACAGCUCACCCUUCCCGUGACCUGAGUUUGUGCUGCUGCAGCAUUCCUCAGGCAGCUCGUGACCUCAGUUAUUCCUCAGUUCUCAAAACGUCACUGCCUGUAUUUUCAGGUGUUUUAAAACCAACUUCCCUUUUUACAGUGCCAUUGAAACAGCUUUCUGUCAUUUUCUACUGCUCAGCAUUUUGGGAAUAUAUCAUUACACAGAAAAGUUAUCUCAGGGGCUCAGGGCCCAGGAUUUGGGCCCUCACGAGUUAUGGAAUAACAGGAUCAGAGUAUGACAAUGAAUCUAGAGCCUGUGAGGCAGGAAGAAUGGGGCCGGUUGUUCAAACGCUGCCGCUGCCAGGUCCUUGGGGCAUGAUCUGGGAUGAAUCACCCUGUUCUGUGCGCCCUAACCCCAUGCCAAGGAAGAACCAGAAAGGUGCCAUUUUAAGGAGUCACUUGGACUCUCACGGGGGGAAAGGCAGCCCAGAGACCGCCGGGCCCAGCUUCCCCCUCGCCAAAGCCCGCGCCCGUCGCUGGUCACGUUCUGCCCUCUAGUGCUCGUUCUCCCAGAGCUUCUGCAAGCCGAGUUCACCGGGAGGACUGGGAAUGCGUUCGUACGGAACAGCCGUCGGGAGCUUUCCAUGGAACUGCAAUUUCUGAGCUGUUUCCCUUCCCUGCUCCGCACGUGGCACAGGAGGAAUCACCCGGGCUCUGCAGGAGCGUGCUAGUGCCCGGCUCCCGUGCAGUGCACGCACGGGUUGACAGCAACAUACAUCCAAGAACAGCAGCCCCGAGUGCUGCCCGCUCCCAGGCAGCCCUAACUUCGGCCCAGACUUGCUUGAUUCCCAGUGGAAGCACAUUUCCCACACCAUUAGAAAUCCAGGUGAGUUGGAGAGAGGAGAAAGACUGAUUUGAGAAGUUUACUAAAGCACUUAAGAAACUGGCAUUGAGAUGCACGUGAGAAUUCCCAAAUUUAACCAGUUUGUUUUUGUGGGCAUUUGAUUAUUCCCAUCUUCUCCGGGAUUCCUCACUUUGUUCUAGGGAAUAUUUUUUGCUUUUCUGGGAGUUUUCUUUGUAGUGAGAAUGAUUAAUAUUCAUGCAGAAAUUCUGCAGCAAUUGAAGCCUCCAGCGAUCCAGAGCCUCAGAGCAGAGAGAGGUUAAUAUUCUUCCUCCUUCCAUUCCUCCUGUUGCUUGCAGAGGAAUGAUGUGGUCCGUGCAGGGAUAUGAACAAGGAGGAACUGUGGAUGAUUGUGGGAAAUAAAGGGCUCUCUCAGGAAAAAGCUCA
Molecule: long non-coding RNA, 1273 nt
Filed under: Cyanistes caeruleus (blue tit)
Lineage: Eukaryota; Metazoa; Chordata; Aves; Passeriformes; Paridae
Description: lncRNA (ENSCCEG00000012334.1)
Source: RNAcentral